Equus caballus (horse) is the source of this 6451-nucleotide long non-coding RNA. Lineage: Eukaryota; Metazoa; Chordata; Mammalia; Perissodactyla; Equidae. The record is from Ensembl.
AGUGUGGCCAUUCGCAUGUGGUAUUGCCAAGGCAGGACGUUCCUCCAAGCUUUGUUGUCCAGAGUUUUCAUUGAGGCUCCAUGACUUCGGCAUGACUGAUUGAGUGAUUGCCCAUGUGGUUGAGCUCCAUCUCCAGCCCUCCUCCCCUCCACCCACGUCAGGCUGCUGCUGUGAAGCUCAAAGCCUCUGAGCACAGGGUUGGUCUUUGUGGUCCGGGCAGGGCCAGCCCCCUCUCAGGCAGUUGGGUAACAGUUUAUAAACUAUCUCUGGGCCCCCUUUGAGGAACUUCAUUAGCAUAAACUAUUCGGGUGCGGCCCCUCAUGAAUAACAGAGACAUUCCAGUCACUCAGGAAAUUCUCCCAAGAGCGAGGACAAAGGUCAGACCUCUCUCUAGAGGCCAAAUUCCUUACUCCUCAAGCUGCCUCUCCAAUUUUUUGGAUUUAAGUUAAACCAACAUUUCUCAGCUAAGAGUUCUUGGAAUCCCACCCAGGGACAUUGCCAGGUAGGAGAGACAUUUUUGGUUGUCACAACUGUGGUGGGAGGUGGUGCGACUGUUACCAAAAUAUGAGCAGACCGAUUUUGCCCUCUCACAUGCUGUCUUGCUCCUGCAAACACAGCAACUCUGAUGAGGCUGUCCUUAUAGGUAAGGGAUAUAGGAAUCUGCCUACAAAUGUGGCGGUCAGACCAGGCCCCAAAUAUCUGAUUCUGUUCACCCAGACAUGCUUUAGGUCAGAGUAGCUCACAGGUGUGAGUACGGCUGGUAUAUACUACAUCAUUCUAGAAGCUACGUGGACAGGGCGUUAAAUAACACCGAGUCACAUAAUUAGGACGUUACUCACAUUUUACUUCUCUUUCUGUCUGAUUUUGCCAAGGAGAGUGUCUGAGUUUGGGGCUAGUGUAUCUUUAACACCUCUCUAUCGUUAGCUUCCCUCCUUGUUUUUUAUAAAGAAAGAGUGGUUUUCGACUUGGACCCUUUAUCGACAAUAUCUACGUAAAAUUUUAAAGUGUACUUCGUUUCUGUUUCUGAUAUAUUUGUGCUUACCAUCUAUUUUUGGCAAAUGAUACCAGUUAUGUUAAGUUUCCUUAUACAUAUAAUUUCUCUCAAGAAGUACAAGUUCUAAUUUAAAUGAGAGCUUUUUAUGUAAAAGUCAUUCAAUUGAAAGACAAUAUUAAGUAAAUGUGGUAGAAACUUGUGGUGCUCACUCAUAUCUGGUCCUCCCUUUGGGCAUCCAAGGGGACUCUGUCCCGUUUUCCUGCAGGUAGACAGGGCCAGGACAUUAGUCCUGGCUCAGAGGCAGGCUGAGGCAGGGAGUAGCCCGCAUGAUCUCCCCACUGUCACUCAGCCACCAUCCACCCAGAAGCCAUGUGCUGAGAGGACCGUAAGCACUUUCUGGUGGAGCCUCCCUGAGGUGGGGGCAGAGCACAUCUCCUGCCAGCCAACACUGGGCACGUGGCAUGAGCAAGAAGUAGGCAUUGUCUGCAUUAGACAAUUGACACCUCAGGAUUCGUUUGUUAUUACAACAUAGCCUAGCUCUGUUUGCAACACAGAAAUUAGUACCAGGAGUGGGGUGAUUUUAUAACAACAACUGAAAAUAUGCAGCAUUAGCUUAGCAGUUGGAAGAUGAGGCGCCUGGAAACUGCUGUCAGAGGCCACUAGCAUGGUUCUCCCUAGUGGGCAGCAGCAAACAUUUGGUCACACUGUCCCUUGUGAUAACUUGGGAGGCAGACCAUGUAUGUGAUUGACUGAUGGCUCUAAGAAAGAAUUGGAAAAUAAAUACUAGGAGUGUGUGUUGGCUGCAUGUGGCAGUAUAUUGUGUGAAAGCAAUGAGCUGGGAAAAAAUUGGUCAGUUUGUAGUCAGAAAUAAAAAAUAAAUGAAUAAAGAGAUUCCAGCAAUUGUUUGCAUAAUCAUAGUCAUAGAACAGGAGAUAUGUAGUUCUGGCAAAAACGGAAACCCUUUAUGGCAGCGCUGUCCGGAGCUGACUCUUUCUGUUGAGGAGUUACUGUUUAAAUGAAGUCCCCUGUGUCAGGAGGGCACGUCUCCAGGAUCAGUCAUCAGCAGAAUCAUGGAGUUCAUGUGAAAUCAGAACUAGGGUUCUUCAAGUUGGAAAGAGUCUUCAAGGAACUCCCUUGAUGAAUAAGGCUAAGAUAUAGGUUUAGGAUAUUUAAUGCUGAAGGGCUGAGGGGGCAAGAGCCUUGAGAAGAAAACACAAUUUGGAAGGAAAGGCAGGCUCCAUGGAUGGUACCCGAGGGAGAUUGGGACAGCCAGGAUUAUGCUGAGAAGAACUGUCAGGAGGGAGCAGAGAGGGACUUCUGACAUGAAUUUUCAGAAGUCAGGGAGCAGCACCAGGAUUCUCGAAUGUGUUUUCUAAGGUAGGAUGUAAGGGAAGGAGCAUAGGUUCGGGUCUUAGAAGCCAGCGCUUACAUUUCAUCUCUUCUCUUUACCAGCUGUGUGAAAUUCCCAAGUUAUGAAAACUCCCAGAACCUUAUUUUUCUCUUUAAAAAUGGGGGUAGCAGUAUCAUUUAGAGAGGUGCUCCUCCACAAAAGAACAUAAGUUCACAAGGAGAGGGGUUUGCUUGCUUUGUUCUUUGCUGCAUCCCUCGGACAGUGCCUAGCACUCAGGAAGUGCAAAAUAAAUAUUUGAAGGAAGGGAUUGUUGAGAGAAUUAAAUAGCAUGAUUUAUGUAAAGUACCUAGCAUGGAGACAGGCCCUGAGCAGACCCUGCAAAUGCCGGAGGCUCCCAACUGUCUCCCUGCCUCCACGUUAGCCCCCUGGAGUCCUCUCAGUCAAGCAUCCAGAGGUAUCUUUAAACAUAUAAUGAAUCAAGCCACUUCCCAGUUUAAAAGCCUACGGUGACCGCUCCCCACCCCCACCUACCCCGCCCAGAGGAAAAGUCAAAAUCCUUUCCACAUUUCGCAAAGCUUUGCACGACACCUCCCAGCCUCCAUCCACCGUCUCUCUGUCCUCUUGCUGACCCACUCCAGCCAUGCUGUCCUUCUGGUGGUCGCUGGACACGUCAAGCUCAGCCCUGCAUGGGGUCCUCUGCACCUGCUGUCCUUGUGGCUGGAACAUUCUUCCCUUGGUUGUCCCCAUGGCUAGCUCUUUCAGCUCCUUCAGCUCUCUGUUUAUGCUACUUCCUAGCACAAUCUUCUCUGGUGACCCCAACUAAAAUAGGGGGCCCCGUUCCCACCGCAGCAUCUCCCACCUCCUUUCCCUGCAUUAUUCUCCGCACAGCACUCCCCGUCACACUAUGCGUCUUGAUUGUUUCUUGCAUGUUAUCUAUCUAGACAGACUAGAAGAGAAGCAACGUGCGGGCAGGGACCUUUGUCUGUCUGUUCCCUGCUGUCUCUCCAGCACCUGGAACACUCCUGAGCUCAGAGGUGACACUCCACAAAUGUUUGUUGAGUGAAUAAUGGGAUGAAUGAAUGAAAGCAUACAUGCCAUGCCCCUGAGCCCCUGCAUAUGGUCCCCUCUCUGUCUGGGAUGCCACCAUCAUCUUCUCCUUCAAGGCCUAGCUCAGCAUUACCCUAUCUCUGCGGCACCUCCUCCUCUCCAUCCCACCCCAGCAGCAUUGUUUUUGGUUCCCCCAUCAUGCUUUACACAUACUUCUCUAAUAAUACUCACUACAUUCAAUUAUUGUCUGGUGUUUUUUUUCUUUUAAAAGAUGUACAUAAGCAGUACAUGAAUACAUUCACUUUAUUAAAUAUUCAAACAAUAUAGUAAGUGAAAGAUCUCCUCUAGGCUACUCUCAAAAUCUACCUUUCCUUUCCAGAAGUAAUCUUGUCUGGGAAUUUACAUACACAUACAUGGAUAAAAAAGUAAAGUUUUGUUUUGAGUGUGCAUGUGUGUGCUUUAUUAUACCUAUGUUCUGGCAUUUUCUAUGAUUUGCAUCUUUGACACAGAGUACUUUGUGUGAUUGUCUGUUUUGUACCUGUAUGCAUUUAAAUCACUUUAAAAAAUAAUUUAGCAUUGAAUUAGAUAGAAUGAAGGCAUGAAGAUUUAGUUGGCCAUUCCCCAUCUUAUGGGUAUUUAGAUGGUUCACAUUGCUGCAGCCAUGCCACAGUGAAAGUUCCUACACAGGUCUGUUAGAGCAUAUGUGUUUCUCCAGACUACAUACCUAGAAGGGAAAUAGAGGAUUUGAAAAGUGUGCAGAUUUUAACCUGUCAAUUCACCCUUUAAAAAGCCUGUAAAAAUUAUGCUUCUGUGAAGGUGGGAUAUUUUUAAUAUUUGCCUAUUUGCUGGGAGAAAAUGUCUCAUUCGAGUUUUGUUUUUCAUUUCCCUGAUUAUUGCUGAAGUUUACAUGUUUGUCUAUAUUUAUUAGAAUUUAGUUUCUCUUGUGACUCGUUUUUCCAUCUUCUUGGCCCGUUUUUCUUUUCUCUUGCUGUCACUAUCUUACGUGCCUGUUUGUUUUACUUGACUGUGAGCUCCUUCAGGUGGUCAUCACAUCUUAUUUAUCAAGGUUUCCCCUUCCAGAGCACACAGACAGUGCUUAAUGAAUGUAUAUCCAAUUGCAUUAUUGAAGCCAUAGGCAUUACCCUUUAUCAUGGUUAUCAUCAUUAUCAUCCUCCUCAUCACCGCCAGUACCAUUUAUUUAGUCUCACAGGAUGCUAAGCCCUGUCUCGGGAGGUGUGCGUAUAUAGUCUCUCAUCUUCCUAAUACCUCGCCCAACAAAGUGACUAUUGGUAGCUCUGUUUUACAGAUAAAGCAGUUGAGACUCAUGCAAGUUACACGGGCUGCCCAAGGACACUCAGCCGGAUUAUGAAGGGAGGGAUUAUGGAGCAGAGUCUUUUCAGCCUGGUUCCAAAGUAUGUGCAGUCUCCCUUAGAGCAAUUGGCCUCUUCCUGGCCACGCAUUAGAAUCACCUGAACAGGCUUUUAAAUGAUAGCUAUAUCCAGUCCUACCCCAGGCCAAUUGAUUCAGAAACUCUGGGACUAGGUCUGGGGAAGUGGUGUUAUAAAAAUCCCUACAUGAUUUUGAUGUGCAGAAAUGGUUGAAAACCUUUGGUCUACAUUGGGAGUGAACCAGCUUUUUUUGUAAAGUGCCAGAUAGUAAAUAUUUUAGACUUUGCCUGCCAUACAGUCUCUGUGGCAACUAUCCACCUUUGCUGUUGUAGGGUCAAAACAGCCAAAGACAAAAAUGAACGAACAUGACUGUGUUCCAAUUGAAACCCAUUUACAAAAACAAACGGCAGCCAAAUUUGGUCCAUGGGCUGUAGUUUGUGGACCCCUAGUCUAUAUCAUAAUACUUCGAAGAUCUUGGAAUUUCGGAUUGUCCCAGUCAAACCAGGACAUCUGGUCACAUUAAUUACCUUGCUAAGUCUCAAGGACAGUGGCAUGAGAAUCUUUGCCCCACCUCAACAGAUUCUGCUUCAGUAGGUUGGGGCCUGGGCAUCUGCAUUUCAACAAGGGAUGCAGCUGAUUCUGAUGUAAGCAGACUUCGUGGGUCCUUACUGCAAGAAUCACUGGGCUACCAAAGCAUAAUGUUCUUGGCAAGUAGCGAAAGCUUGGCUGGAGAAGCAGAACUGGUUCUUAUCCAACAAUUCUUUAAGCUCAUGGAUAGACAUUUUGUGCGUCCCUGCCUGCCUUAUGUUCCAGCAUCCUGCCUCCAAGGUUCUGGAACCUUGGGUGCCCCAGCAUCACAUCUUCCCAGUCUGCACGUUGGCAGAGAAGGAAGCCGUCCUGCCUCUUCAUCUCUGAAAUUAGUAGAAGACCAAAGUCCUUGUAUAUUUCAAAAUAUUGAAGAAGAAAGUGACUGUUUAACCACCUACGUGAUAAAACUGAUACUGGCAUUUAUCAGUCUGUGUGUGUGUGUGUGUGUGUGUGUGUGUGUGUGUGUGUGUUUUAAUAGUUCAGUAGUUAGAAAAUGGAGCCUCCAUUUUCCCGUCAUCCGCUUUGAAGCUAUGUAGUGGGUGAAUGCCAUCAUUUCUGUUUCCGACCUCUUUAGCAUCCAUUAUUUCUCUGUUGUCCACAUCUAAUAGUCUGGAUCCUUUUAGUUGUUGAUGGCGCAGCGAUUACUGGGGCUGCUGCUUUAGGAUGACUUCCAAAUGCAUCUGAACAGUUGAAUUUAUUUACUGCUUCCCUCCUGAAAGCUUUUUAGCAUGAUCCAGCUGGGGUGGUUUCAUCGGGAAAACCAUUAUUUGCGGCUCUCUUUUUUUGAGGGGUAGAAAUAAAUUUCCCAAAAGGUGAAAGUGGACGCUGUUCAUUGUGGAUCUGCAAUCUUACUUUUUCUUCUCUCUCCUUCUUACAUUCCAUUUGCACAGUUUUUCUCAGGAAUGACUUCUUUCUGGGGAAAUGGAAUGUUCUAAAUGGCACGAUUGAGUCAAAUCAAUGUUUAGAGUGGUUUGGACUUUUAAGCCUUUUGCUGGAUUUUGGCAGUAUCAUUUUAUACUGUAAAACCCCUUUUUUCCCAGGUAACCUAUAAUAUUCAUAUUGAACAUUAUUCACAGCUUUCUA